GUCUCGAUAGCUCAGUGGUAGAGCAUGCGAUUGCAGUGAGUCUAUCCUGUUCUUAUAUCGCAUGGUCCGGUGUUCGAACCACCGUCGGGACU
Termitomyces sp. Mi166#008 is the source of this 92-nucleotide non-coding RNA. NCBI's taxonomy places the organism in Eukaryota, Fungi, Basidiomycota, Agaricomycetes, Agaricales, Lyophyllaceae. The record is from the annotation of a GenBank genome assembly.